GGGAAGAAGCGAGAGUGACGGUACCUGCAGAAGAAGCGCCGGCUAACUACGUGCCAGCAGCCGCGGUAAUACGUAGGGCGCAAGCGUUGUCCGGAAUUAUUGGGCGUAAAGAGCUCGUAGGCGGCUUGUCGCGUCGGAUGUGAAAGCCCGGGGCUUAACUCCGGGUCUGCAUUCGAUACGGGCAGGCUAGAGUUCGGUAGGGGAGAUCGGAAUUCCUGGUGUAGCGGUGAAAUGCGCAGAUAUCAGGAGGAACACCGGUGGCGAAGGCGGAUCUCUGGGCCGAUACUGACGCUGAGGAGCGAAAGCGUGGGGAGCGAACAGGAUUAGAUACCCUGGUAGUCCACGCCGUAAACGUUGGGAACUAGGUGUGGGCGACAUUCCACGUCGUCCGCGCCGCAGCUAACGCAUUAAGUUCCCCGCCUGGGGAGUACGGCCGCAAGGCUAAAACUCAAAGGAAUUGACGGGGGCCCGCACAAGCAGCGGAGCAUGUGGCUUAAUUCGACGCAACGCGAAGAACCUUACCAAGGCUUGACAUACACC
Molecule: ribosomal RNA, 540 nt
Filed under: Streptomyces sp.
Lineage: Bacteria; Bacillati; Actinomycetota; Actinomycetes; Kitasatosporales; Streptomycetaceae
Description: bacterial SSU rRNA
Rfam family: Bacterial small subunit ribosomal RNA
Source: RNAcentral